UACGUAGGGGGGCAAGCGUUUGUCCGGAAUCAUUGGGCGUAAAGAGCGCGUAGGCGGCCCUGUAAGUCCGCUGUGAAAGUCAAGGGCUCAACCCUUGAAUGCCGGUGGAUACUGCAGGGCUAGAGUCCGGAAGAGGCGAGUGGAAUUCCUGGUGUAGCGGUGAAAUGCGCAGAUAUCGAGAGGAACACCAGUGGCGAAGGCGGCACUCUGGGCCGGUACUGACGCUGAGGAGCGAAAGCGUGGGGAGCGAACAGG
RNAcentral lists this ribosomal RNA (255 nucleotides) under uncultured bacterium. Its description in RNAcentral is "partial 16S ribosomal RNA". It matches the Rfam family "Bacterial small subunit ribosomal RNA", at positions 524 to 776 of the family's 1533-position model. The record is from RNAcentral.